UCUUUUUAUUUUUUAUCAUAGAUGGGAUAUAAUUUCUGAGUGUACAUGUUACAGAAUCAUACUGGUCAUAUAGUCACAUAUAUACAUACAGUAAUAAUGUCUGUAAUAAUUUGAUUAGGUGCAGUGUCUAAGUCUUUGAUCCACUUUGAGUUGAUUUUUAUGCAGUGUGAGAGAUUUUGCUAAAUAUGGAUUUCUAGUUUUGCCAGCACCAUUUGUAGAAGAGGCUAUCUUUUCUCCAGUGAAUGUUUUUGGCACCCUCGUCUAGUAAGAGAUAACUGUAUUUAUGUGGGUUUGUCUCUGUGUCCUCUGUUCUGUACCAUUGAUCUACAAAUCUAUUUUGGAGCCAAUACCAUGCUGUUUUUGUUACUAAUAGCUCUGUAGUACAGUGUAAGGUCUGCUUCACUUUUCUUACUAAGGAUUGCUUUAGCUAUUCUGGGUCUCUUAUUUUUACAAAUAAAUUUCAUGAUUGCUUUUUCUAUUUCUAUGAAGAAUGUCAUUGGGAUUUUAAUAGGAAUUGCAUUAAAUCUGUAUAAUGCUUUUGGUAGUAUGGCCAUUUUGACAAUAUUAAUUCUGUUUAUUCAGGAGCAUGGGAGAUCUUUCCAUCUUCUGAGGUUUUCUUCAAUUUCUUUCUUUAGUGUUCUGUAGUUUUCAUUAUAGAGGUCUUUCACCUCUUUUGUUAGAUUAAUUCCCAGGUUUUCGUUCUAUUUUGUUUUAUGCUCAUAAGUGUUUUGUUUAUUUAUUUGUUUAUUUAUUUAUUUGAGGCUAUUGUGAAUGGAGUAGUUUUUCUAAUUUCUCUUUCAGUGGAUUCAUUGCUGAUAUAUAGAAAUGCAUUUGAUUUAUGGGUAUUGAUUUUAUAUCCUGUUACUCUGGAAUUUUUGGGAUCUUCUAGAUAUAGAAUCAUGUUAUCAGCAAAUAGUGGUAGCUUGAGUGCUUCUUUACCUAUUUGAAUCUCUUUAAUGUCUAAUUGCUCUGUCUAGAGUUUCAAGGAUGAUGUUGAAUAGAAGUGGUGAAAGAGGACAUCCUUGUCUUGUUCCAGUUUUUAGAGGGAAUGCUUUCGAUUUUUCUCCAUUUAGAAUGAUCCUGGCCUUGGGUUUAGCAUAUAUAGCUUUUGCCAUGUUGAGGAAUGUUCCACUUAUCCCUAGUUUUCCUAGUGUUUUGAACAUGAAGGUGUGCUGUACUUUGUCAAAUGCUUUUUCUGCAUCUAUUGAGAUGAUCAUGUGAUUCUUGUUUUUAAGUCCAUUAAUAUGAUGAAUUACGUUUAUUGAUUUCCAUAUGUUGAACCAACCCUGCAUUCCUGGGAUGAAUCCCACUUGAUCGUGGUGCACUAUCUUUUUAAUAUGUUUUUGUAUGUGAUUUUCCAGAAUUUUAUUGAGAAUUUUUGCAUCAAUGUUUAUCAGAGAUAAGAUUUUUUUAAAUUUCAUCCUUGAUUUGUGAAGUUUUCUUUCCUUGAUGUGUCUUUGCUGGUUUUGGUAUCGGUGAUAUUACCCUCAUAGAAUGAAUUUGGAAGGGUUCCCUCCUUUUCUAUUUCAUGGACUACUUUGAGGAGUAUUGGUGUUAAUUUUCCUUUGAAAGUCUUGUAGAACUUGGCUGAGAAUUUAUCUGGUCUUGGGUUUUUCUUGGUUGGUAGGCUUUUGAUGGCAUUUUCUACUUCAUUAUUUGAAAUUGAUCUGUUGAAAUCAUGUAUGACCUCCUCAUUCAGUUUGGGUGGGUCAUACGUCUCUAGAAAUUUGUCACAAUGUCUUUGAUAUUUUCUAUUGUAUUAGAGUAUAAAUUUUCGAAAUAGUAUCUAAUUACCUUCUGUAUUUCAGAUGUGUCCCUUGUGAUAUUUCCUUCUUCAUCCUGUAUUUUAGUAAUUGCCGCAGUCUGGCUGGGCACAAUCAGGAGCCACUUGUCAAAAGAAACUAACUUUAUUUUUAGAACCACACACGCCAAACAAAACAGCNGUUUCAAUUUUAUUAAUUUCUGCUCUGAUUUUAAUUAUUUCCUGUCUUCUACUGUAUUUAUGUGGGUUUGUCUCUGUGUCCAGAGACAAAUUGGGAUUUUAAUAGGCAUUGCAUUAAAUCUGUAUAACGCUUUUGGUAGUAUGGCCAUUUUGACAAUAUUAAUUCUGUUUAUUCCAGAGAAUGGGAGAUCUUUCCAUAGUGAGAGAGGUGUGUUAAAGUCACCCAGUAUUAUUGUAUUAUGGUCUGUUUGACUCUUGAAAUCGAGAAGGGUUUGUUUGAUGUAUGUAGAUGCUCCAUUGUACAUAUCUGUUAUGUCCUGCUUAUAUAUAUUUCUUUUAAGAAGUAUGAAAUGUCCUUCUUUGUCUCUUCUGAUUAACUUUGGUUUGAAGUCUACUUUAUCUGAGAUGAGGAUGGAAACCCCUGCUUGUUUACGCAAUCCCUAUGAGUGAUAAGUUUUCCCCUCCUUUUACCUUCAGCCUGUGAUGUCUUUGCCCAUGAGGUGAGUCUCCUGAAGACAGCAUAUUGUUGGGCCUUGCUUUUUAAUCCAAUCUGACAAUCUGUGUCUUUUGAUUGAUUGAUUUAGGCCAUUAACAUUCAAGGUUAUUAUUGAGAUAUCAAUAAUAAUGACGGUAUUCCCUGUCAUUUUGAUUUAUUUCUGGUUUUUUAUUUGUCCUAGUUUCUCAUUUGAUUGCAUGUCCCUUUAGUGUAGAUCCUCCCUUUGCUGGUUUUCACUUUUUUUUUUUUUUUACUUCAUCAUGGAAUAUUUUGUGGGAAUGCUCUGAAGUGUAGGCUUUGUAGUUGUAAAUUCCUUUAAUUUUUGUUUAUCAUGGAAUGUUUUAAUUUCAUCUUCAAAUCUGAAACUUAAUUUUGCUGUAUAUAAAAUUCUUGGAUGGCAUUUGUUUUCUUUCAGAGCUUGAAAUAUAUUAUUCAGGACCUCCUACUUUUGAGGGUCUGGGUUGGGAAAUCAGUUGAGAUCUGAAUUGGUUUCCCCCAUACGUAAUUUGAUUUUUUUCUCUCAGAGCCUUUAAGAUUUUAUCUUUAUUCUCUGUGUCAGUCAUUCUCAUCAUCAUGUGUCUUGGUGUGGGUCUGCUGUAAUUUUGUACAUUUGGGGUCCUGUAAGCCUCUUGUAUUUGAUUUUCCAUUCUAUAGAUGUGGGUAAUUUUCUGCCAUUACUUCAUCUGUUCUGAUAACUCUUAAAUUUGGUUUUUCCAUGUUAUCCCAUAAUUCUUGGAUGUUCUGUUCAUGAUUUCUUACCAUCUUCUCUGCAUGGUCAACUCUACUUUCAAGAUUAUAUAUUUUGUCUUCAUUGUCUGAGGUUCUGUCUUCCAAGUGGUCUAGUCUGUUGGUGAUGCUUUCUAUUAAAUUUAUAAUUUGGUUUACUGAUUCCUUCAUUUUGAGGAUUUCUGCUUAUUUUUUUUAUGAUCUCUAACUUUUUAUUGAAGUGGUCUUUCACUUCCUGUAUUUUUUCUUUGAUUUCAUUCCUUUAAUACUAUCCUUCACUUCACACUUCAAUUUAACUGUAUACAUUCUGAACUCCUUCUAGGACAUUUCUCCUACUGUGUUAUCAGUGGCUACUGUUGUUGAAGCAUCUUGGUUUGUUUGGGGUGCUUUAUUCCCUUGUUUUUUUGUGUUGUUAGUGUGUUUUCCCAUCUAGCAGUACGGAUCUAAGUCAGGAUAAAUUCUACCCUGUAGACCUAUAGUGUCCCCGAAGAUUUUCAGCACUUCUCCUCUACUGGUGAGACCAAUCGCAACAGCACCCAGUGCACACAAUAUAUAGUCUUAAACCUAAUAGCUCCCACUAAGGCGUCUACUGCUUUCUCAUACUGAACCAAAAUGUUGACUUCAAUAACUAUUUAUAGUACAAAUAGAAUAUUUGUUAAAAUGAUUUACAAUUUCAAAUGGUGGAUGAGAGAACAGAGGUAUGUAGUAUGUGAUAUUCAUGAAGGAGGAAGAGAGAAUCUAGAAGUAGAAAUUCACAGGAAGAGUGGAAGAGGAGCCAACAGAGAUUGGCUGUGGGUUGGAGAAAAAUUGGAAAGAAAAUCCAAGACAGUAGAUGAGAGGAGGAAUACGAACAAGGAGAAAAAAGUAAAGACAUAAGAAUGUAACAAAAAUGUAAAACACCAUUCAUAUAUCAUUGUCCUCCACAUACUGAUGUAUAAAAAUCAUACUGUUCCAAAUAUGGUAGAGAGAUUAGUGAAUCAAAAAAUAAAUAAAUCUUGCUGGAAAGUCUGUCUCAGUGUUCAACAGUUUCUCAGCCCUGUCUCUGACAUCCCUUGGGAUCACCAAACCCAGAUCAGCCCUCGCAAACCCAGCCUCUAUCCCACCCAUCUGGGCUUCAGAUACCUCAGGCUCGGCCACCUGCAGGCCCAAGACCUCAGUGCUGCUCCUGCUUGCAGAGAGACCACCAGGAUACACUCAUGCAGAG
This 4368-nucleotide long non-coding RNA is filed under the name Marmota monax (woodchuck). Lineage: Eukaryota; Metazoa; Chordata; Mammalia; Rodentia; Sciuridae. The record is from RNAcentral.